AUAUUCGCAAGUUUCUGUUCUUCAUCGUCUCCAUUUCCUUUCCGAAAAUUGUUCUGAAAUUCAAAACACUUUCUUUGUUGGAUGUGACUUGCGAGUACCAGUUCCGCCGCUCAGUAGCUGAAGUGGAGCAAUGGCAUCCGAUCAUCAGCAGCCAGUUCUAUCUUCUCUCGGAAAGGUAGGACACUCAUCUGGUGAGAUUGACGAUGUUGAGGAACCGUUAGUUUCUGUUGAAUUUAAAAACUCAGAGAAUUUUUCUGCCAGAGCUGCAAU
Molecule: unclassified non-coding RNA, 270 nt
Filed under: Hevea brasiliensis (rubber tree)
Lineage: Eukaryota; Viridiplantae; Streptophyta; Magnoliopsida; Malpighiales; Euphorbiaceae
Source: RNAcentral